This 260-nucleotide ribosomal RNA is filed under the name Anopheles albitarsis. Its description in RNAcentral is "partial large subunit ribosomal RNA". The stretch from base 1 to 176 matches the Rfam family "Bacterial large subunit ribosomal RNA", at positions 2468 to 2643 of the family's 2925-position model. Lineage: Eukaryota; Metazoa; Arthropoda; Insecta; Diptera; Culicidae. The record is from RNAcentral.
UUAGGGAUAACAGCGUAAUUUUUUUAGAGAGUUCAUAUCGAUAAAAAAGAUUGCGACCUCGAUGUUGGAUUAAGAGUUAUUUUUAGGUGUAGAAGUUUAAAGUUUAGGUCUGUUCGACCUUUGAAUUCUUACAUGAUCUGAGUUCAAACCGGCGUAAGCCAGGUUGGUUUCUAUCCUUAAUUAAUUAUUAUAUUGUAGUACGAAAGGACCUAAUAUAAAAAAUAUAAUUUUAAUUUAUUUGAAAAUUAAUAAUUUUGUUU